Molecule: long non-coding RNA, 2058 nt
Organism: Pongo pygmaeus (Bornean orangutan)
Lineage: Eukaryota; Metazoa; Chordata; Mammalia; Primates; Hominidae
Exons: 3
Source: RefSeq, a predicted model, not a curated record
ACAGAUGACAUUACAUAUCCUGCAUCUCAAGUACCAAAAAAAUAACCAUUUGUUAUGACAAUGACUCAAACAUAUUUCUGUCCAGCUCCUUGAGCCCUCUGGUUGAUUGUAAAUAGCGCAGGAAGAGAAUGUGGACUGGCGGAAGGUUUUGUGAGCCCAGCUCGUUGGGUUAGGAGUUGACCUUUCUUUUGGUUUCUCAAAGUGGUGACACCAAGAACAGUCCCCUUUGGGAGCAGGUGUCACCAAGGUCUAACAUCCCCAUUACGUGCAGGGGGUGUUUCCAGUCUCUGUGAUAGAAACGGGAGACUGUAUCUGGGCUUCUCAAUUGGUUAUCGCUUGUGCAGCUCGCUCUAAUCUGCGGGAGCCGGAGCCAGCAGCACAGCUGACUCUGGAGAUGGGCGCAGGCCAGGCCCUUCCAGGCAGAGGAGGGACAGCAGCACAUGGGCUAGUGCCAGAGGGAGAGGGAGGCAGAGCACAGCGUUUGCUUUCCACCUUUGCUUCCAAGGAAGAAAAGCCAUCAUACACAGCAUGUGCACUGAGAAACCAAGGGGGCUGCCUCGCAACAGAAGGCAUCUGCAACAAACAGAAACAGGAUUUCGCUAUAUUGCCCAGGCUGGUUUAGAACUCCAGGCCUCAAGUAAUCUUCCUGCCUUGGCCUCCCGAAGUGCUGGGAUUACAGGCACAUUAUAACUAUGAUACAGUUCAACAAGGAGAUAUUUUCUACUUUCUAUUAUAAGAAUGCACAUAUCGUUCAUUUUAUUCAAAAGCCCACUGUUUUCAGGAAGCUUCGAAAUGGGCGGGGUAAUAUAGUCACUCUCGUUUAUUCAGACAGAGGCGCAAUAUUAAAAGCUUACCUGAAAUUCUGUACUGUGUCAAGGGGUGAAGUUAAUACAGAACUGAAAUUAAAAUGCAAAAAAGUAUUAUUAUAAAGAGCAAAGAAAGCAUUCUACAAGGCAACCUGAGAAGAGCUUGAACAAACUAUGUUAGACGUGGUUGUACAUCGACAUAAAGCCACCUGCUCCCACCUCUUUCUUCAAGUCUGUGUCUCACAAUGCUGGGGGCAGUUCCCUUGGUAAAGCUGAGUUUAUGUCUUAUUUACCAUCCCACAUCCUCUCUAUCCUGCUGAGGCUUAGCAACCGUGAUGGGAUUAGGGGCUCUGAGGCCUCAAGUGGAUGGAGGAGUUUUGGGCCGAGUGGAACUUCAACCAUCAUCCCUACCCCAGAUCUGCUAUUUGAACUCUGGGCACAAAGGUGGCGGAGGGGUCCCCCAUCACUGUGGCUCUCCAACUCCAGGUGGAAAAGCCCCGCAGCCAUGACUAAAGGCCACGGUGAACGCCCAAUGAGGGACCUGUGAUGGAUUUAAAAGGUAAAAAGCAGUUUUCUGGAUUUCAUACUCUCGAGAAAGAGCUCAUCAUGACCAUCGUUCUAGAUGGCCAUACCUUCAGAAAAAUCCAAGUCUGCUUUAUUUUGCUUAACCUAUUCAUUAAAGUUUCCUUUCAAGUACUGAAUGACAGUCCUAUUUUAAAUUCCCUUUUUGAUCUUAAUUUGCAGGGAAUUUAAAUGUCUUUCGUAUUGUGAUUCUUUUCUUAAGUAAACUGAGGACGGAUGCUCACGCUGACCAUGGCUGGACUGUUGCUUUGGUAAUAACCAAAGACACCCCGUGCCUACUCUGUCUGAAACUGACAAUAUUGCGGCAAAUGGAAUCAUUUUGUGCUUUUGGAUGUAUUCAAGCAGAGGUCCUUGGCAACAGUAAUGCCACUCCAAGGGGGCAUUUUGGAAAUGCCAGGGGUCCCUCUGGUUCUCUUAAUAACUCAGAGAUCCAGAAUGUUAGAUCUCCUGCAAGGACAAGGAAGAUAUGUCCCAUGUGACUUUAAAAAAUACUCUGCGCACCUAAAUCCUCUGUAAUUGUAAACAGGCGGUUCUCCAAUACACAAACAGUGAAACAUUUUUAUAAGCAGUUAUAGGAAAAGCCCAAUAUUUGGGAGAAGUUUAUUACAUGAAUGGAAGCUUAAUGGGUUUAAGAUAUCAUGAAAUAUUUGAAUAAAUUGUUCACUGCUUA